RNAcentral lists this ribosomal RNA (253 nucleotides) under uncultured bacterium. RNAcentral describes it as "partial 16S ribosomal RNA". It matches the Rfam family "Bacterial small subunit ribosomal RNA", at positions 524 to 776 of the family's 1533-position model. The record is from RNAcentral.
UACGGAGGGUGCGAGCGUUAAUCGGAAUUACUGGGCGUAAAGCGCACGUAGGCGGUUUGAUAAGUCGGAUGUGAAAGCCCUGGGCUUAACCUGGGAACUGCAUUCAAUACUGUCUGACUAGAGUAUGGGAGAGGGAAGCGGAAUUUCCGGUGUAGCGGUGAAAUGCGUAGAUAUCGGAAGGAACACCAAUGGCGAAGGCAGCUUCCUGGCCCAAUACUGACGCUCAUGUGCGAAAGCGUGGGGAUCAAACAGG